AAUACAUAUCAUAGAGAUAUAAGUAAUUCAAAGGGGUUAUUAAGGAAAACUACUGCAAAUUUAUAAAAAAGGAGGUAUAGCACCAAAAGCUUCAGAAAGAAUAUUUAUGUUCUUUCCAAAAUAUGAACAAUAUAAGCGAUCCUAAGGUAAACCUUUAUAAAAAUUACUUCCUGAAGUAAAACAUUUUAUUAAGGAAAGGAAAGGAAAUCAACCGAGACUCCGAAAGUAAUGGUGAGUGAAAUCGGAUUAGCCUAAAAAUCUUUAAUAAUUGAAUAAUUGAUAUCUUGCCUAUAAUCUUUAUAAGAAAAAUAAGUAGGGUAAAUUAGUUAGCAUAAUUUAUUACAUAUAAAUAAAUGUACCAUAGAAGGUCAAACACAAAAGUCCUGUAGAUUAUUAAAGAGUACAAAAUAAAAAGUACGAUGAGAGAUAACUUGUCGGAAAAUAGGGGAACCAUCCUCUAAGGCUAAGUAUUAUAAAUUUAGCGAUAGUGAAAAAGUACUGUAAAGGAAAAGUUUGAAAAGCGAGUGGAAUACAAAAAGUGAAUUAUUAAAUAAUUACUAUGUAAAUAUUUUAAUAAUGAAUCGGUGAAAUAGAUCUUGAAUUAGUAACUCUAUAAGCAGUCGAAAUUCAACUUAAAAACAUACAAGGUAAAUGAAUGACGGCGUACCUUUUGCAUAAUGGGUCAGCAAGUUAAUAGGAGUAGCAAGGUUAAAAGCCCUAGCGAAAGCGACUGGACUAUAUUAUAAAAUAAAUUAUUUUAUAAAAAGAUAGUGAUGGAUAAGUUACUUCUAUUAGACCCGAAGCCAGGUGAUCUUACCAAGACCAGAUUAUAAUGGAUCGAACGGGUGAAUGUUGCAUAAUUCUCCGAUGAGUUUUGGUAAGCGGUGAAAUGCCAAUCUGACCUGGUGAUAGCUGGUUUUCUACCGAAACAUAUUUAAGUAUGACGUCUACACAAGAUUUAUGGAGGUACAGCAAGGCAAUUCCCAACAAAUAUAAAAUCUGUUAUAUCAAUAACAUAAUUUAUACGCGUUUAGGUUGCGGGGAUCUCGAAAAUCUUACCUUUGGAAGCGAAUCUCGGAAUUACAUAAAUUGAUGGUAGACAUUCAGACUACUCAUGCUAAGUUGGGUAGUCAAGACGGAAACAGCCGUGAACAUAGAUCAAGGUCCCAAAUGAUUGUUAAGUGAAAUUAAGGACGUAGCAUAAUCGUAUACAGCUGUGAAGUGAGCCUGGCAGUCGCUACUUUUAAUGAACGUAUGUAACAACGCAUCAGCAGUUAUGAUCGUGGCGCCGAAAAUUUAACGGGUCUUAAACAAUCAACCGAUAUCGUGUUGGUUAAGAAUAUAUUUACAAUAUCCUAAUUAUACUAAAAUAUGUUCUUGAUCUAGGUAGUAGAACAUUCAGUCUAACCAAUAAUAAAAUAGUGUUUCAUUAUUUUUAGGUUACUGAAGAGAGAAUGCUGACAUGAGUAACGUAAAAAGAAGUUAUAAUACUUCUCGCCGAAUACGAAAGGGUUGCAAAUUGGAAAGGUUAAUCCAUUUUGUGUUAAUGCGGCCUCUAAGGACCAAAACCAAAGUUUUGGCUGAUGAGUAUAAAAUAGAAAGUCCAUAAAAUUUAAAAAUGGACCAGGAAAAUAAUAUUUUGUUAAAAAAUUACUACCGUACCCUAAACCGACACAGGUUCGUAGGUAGAGUAUACUAAGGCGUAGAGCUAAAAGUUGUUAAGGAACUCGGCAAGUUCACCUCAUAAGUUAGACGAUAAGAGGUACCAUUUAUGAUUUUAAUUAUUAAGACCUCUUUAUCUUCUACGAGGAUUUAAGAUUAAUAAUAAUUGAUAGAUAGGUGGUGGCACAGAAUCGGAGGCCCCGACUGUUUACUAAAAACACAACACAGUGCAAUCAUUAAUGUGAUAGUAUACUGUGUGAAAUUUGCCCAAUGCCAUUAAUAUAAAAGCGGUCAUAGGAAACUGUGACUAAUUGAAAAUCUGGUUAAUAGCGGUCUUAACCAUGAGGAUCCUAAGGUAGCAAAAUAAAUUGGCCAUUAAAUGUGGUCCGGUAUCAAUAAUGUAACGAUGGCCUCACUGUCUCUACAACUUGCUCAGUGAAAUUGAAUUACGCGUGCAGAUGCGCGUUACCUCCAGUGGGACGGGAAGACCCUAUGCAGCUUUACUGUAGUUAGUUAUCACAUGAAUCUAGAACAACUUUAAUUAAUAGUGAAUAGGCAAAUCGAUAGAUAUAUAGUGGAAACCUUAUAAUUUAAGUUGGGUUUGUGUUUACCUUAUAAUCCAUUAAUUUCUAUAUUACAAAAAAAUAUAGAUAAAUUAGUGGUAUAAAGGGAGAGUUGACUAAUUGGCAGUUUGACUGGGGCGGUCGUCUUUAAUAGAGUAGCAAAGUACAACCAAAUAUUUAUUUAUAUACGUAAUAUCUUAUUUAUACUUAAGAUAUUAAAACAAAUAACUUUCCCUUUUGAUAAGGACUGUCUGUAAAAUGACAAUAAAUUUGAAAGGGUGUAAAAAUUUUAACUAAAACAAAACUUUGUCUUUACUUCUUUCUAUCACUCCUUCCAAAUACUGGUAGGUGGUGUAAGAUACUAUAGAAGAAAGAGACUUAGUCAUUCUUAACUAAAUUUUAUUAAGGUAUGGCUAGAAAUUGAAUGGAGAUCAAUCAACCAGUGAAGGGUUGUGUAGAGCUCAAUGGCGGAAAGCAUGCUUAACUGAAAGACUCAAAAGUCGCACAGAUACGUAAGUAGGGCAUAGUGACCCCUCGCUAUAGUAUGGAAUAGACGGGGAUCAAUUGAUAAAAGUUACGCUAGGGAUAACAGGCUGAUAGCCGACGAGAGUACACAUUGUCUCGGCUGUUUGGCACCUCGAUGUCGACUCAUCCUAUCCUCCGGGGGAAGAAGCUUGGAAGGGUUCGGCUGUUCGCCGAUUAAAAGGGUACGUGAGUUGGGUUUAAUACGACGUGAGUCAGUAUGGUCCCUAUCUUCUGGAGGGACAAGUAGUAAAAGGGGGCAGACCUUCUAGUACGAAAGGACCAAUAGGCUGUGUUUCUCUAGUGCACCAAUUGUUUGUACUUUUUGUAAGGGACCUUAUCUCUAAAGAGAUAUAGGGAAAAUCCUUUUUAACUUUUUUGCGAAAAGUUUUUACUCAAAGCCUGAAAAGGUAAUGAGAAAAAGGUAACAAAUAGGAAAGCAUAGUUGGGUAGCCACAAACAUAAUAGAUAAGUGCUGAAUGUCUCUCAAGCAAGAAUCUAACCCCUAGAUACUAAUAAAAUGGAUCUCUUCUAAAAAUAAUAUAUUUUUAUUAGAGUAUAAACCAUUAAUUAAGAAAUAGAACAUUUCUAGAUAGGCUGCAAAUGUACGUAUUGUAAAA
RNAcentral lists this ribosomal RNA (3367 nucleotides) under Amanita pseudoporphyria. Its description in RNAcentral is "large subunit ribosomal RNA". It matches the Rfam family "Bacterial large subunit ribosomal RNA". The record is from RNAcentral. Lineage: Eukaryota; Fungi; Basidiomycota; Agaricomycetes; Agaricales; Amanitaceae.